GUGAGAGUAGCUCAGCUGGUUAGAGCAUUGGAUUGUGGUUCCAAGGGUCAUGGGUUCGAAUCCCAUCUCUCACC
Molecule: transfer RNA, 74 nt
Filed under: Phycisphaerales bacterium
Lineage: Bacteria; Pseudomonadati; Planctomycetota; Phycisphaerae; Phycisphaerales
Description: tRNA-His
Rfam family: tRNA
About the family: Transfer RNA (tRNA) molecules are approximately 80 nucleotides in length. Their secondary structure includes four short double-helical elements and three loops (D, anti-codon, and T loops). Further hydrogen bonds mediate the characteristic L-shaped molecular structure. tRNAs have two regions of fundamental functional importance: the anti-codon, which is responsible for specific mRNA codon recognition, and the 3' end, to which the tRNAs corresponding amino acid is attached (by aminoacyl-tRNA synthetases). tRNAs cope with the degeneracy of the genetic code in two manners: having more than one tRNA (with a specific anti-codon) for a particular amino acid; and 'wobble' base-pairing, i.e. permitting non-standard base-pairing at the 3rd anti-codon position.
Source: RNAcentral